GUACUAGCUCACAUGCCUUGAGAUUUUCACGUGGACUGUCAUCUUUUAAAUUAAUGAUCGCAUUAGAAACUUUUAUCUUCAUAGGCAUCACUUCCGCAACAGCUUCAUCUUCUAGAAAGUGCUGAAUGUUUGUGAGGGAAGACGUUAGAAAUUCAGCACUGAAGUUCUCAACGUGACACUGAAGAAAACCAUUUUUUACAGCCAGCAGAGAAUGUAUGAUGGCACUAGGCCCGCUUUCCCAUCUCAGACUAAUCUCGGGUGAUGGCUUAACUGGUCCAGCCACAGCUUUACAAUCAGAACCUACAGUCCUGUUGCAAAGAUAGUGUCGAACACUGAUAUUUCCAAGUUGAUUUGGUAUCACUUGAUUGACCUGAAGGCAUAUUUCUGUGUCUUCCCCUCUGAUGUCAAUUUCACCAUUAACACCAAAUAUUUGGAAAACCACAACAGACAUCUGUCAACAAAAAAUAAGAUAAAAAACAAGAUUUUAAAUUGAAUUUAUAUUGUUUUGUCUAUGAAGUUGCCUAAAUCUUUCUCCCCUCUCU
Molecule: long non-coding RNA, 542 nt
Filed under: Gallus gallus (chicken)
Lineage: Eukaryota; Metazoa; Chordata; Aves; Galliformes; Phasianidae
Source: RNAcentral